This 460-nucleotide ribosomal RNA is filed under the name uncultured bacterium. RNAcentral describes it as "partial 16S ribosomal RNA". It matches the Rfam family "Bacterial small subunit ribosomal RNA", at positions 338 to 795 of the family's 1533-position model. The record is from RNAcentral.
CCUACGGGUGGCAGCAGUGAGGAAUAUUGGUCAAUGGGCGAGAGCCUGAACCAGCCAAGCCGCGUGAAGGAUGACGGCUCUCUGGUUUGUAAACUUCUUUUAUAUGGGAAUAAAGUGAGGAACGUGUUCCUUUUUGUAUGUACCAUAUGAAUAAGCAUAGGCUAACUCCGUGCCAGCAGCCGCGGUAAUACGGUGGAUGCGAGCGUGAUCCGGAUUUAUUGGGUUUAAAGGGUGCGUAUGGGGUUAAUUAAGUUAGCGGUGAAAGUUUGUGGCUCAACCCUAGAAUUGCCGUUGAAACUGGUUGACUUGAGUAUGUUUGAGGUAGGCGGAAUGCGGGGUGUAGCGGUGAAAUGCAUAGAUAUAACGAAGAACACCGAUUGCGAAGGCAGCUUACUAGACCAUAACUGACGCUGAGGCACGAAAGCGUGGGGAUCAAACAGGAUUAGAUACCCGUGUAGUC